CCAGACUCCUACGGGAGGCAGCAGUGGGGAAUAUUGGGCAAUGGGCGCAAGCCUUACCCAGCAAUACCGCGUGAGUGAAGAAGGUCUUCGGAUUGUAAAGCUCUUUGAUCAGGGACGAACAGAUGACGGUACCUGAAGAACAAGCCCCGGCUAACUACGUGCCAGCAGCCGCGGUAAUACGUAGGGGGCAAGCGUUAUCCGGAUUCACUGGGUGUAAAGGGAGCGUAGACGGCGACGCAAGUCUGGAGUGAAAGCCCGGGGCCCAACCCCGGGACUGCUCUGGAAACUGCGUCGCUGGAGUACGGGAGGGGCAGGCGGAAUUCCUGGUGUAGCGGUGAAAUGCGUAGAUAUCAGGAGGAACACCGGCGGCGAAGGCGGCCUGCUGGACCGUGACUGACGUUGAGGCUCGAGAGCGUGGGGAGCAAACAGGAUUAGAUACCCGCGUAAA
RNAcentral lists this ribosomal RNA (448 nucleotides) under uncultured bacterium. RNAcentral's name for it is "bacterial SSU rRNA". It matches the Rfam family "Bacterial small subunit ribosomal RNA", at positions 331 to 794 of the family's 1533-position model. The record is from RNAcentral.